GAUACCCUAACUGCUCUUUCUUCACUUGGC
RNAcentral lists this non-coding RNA (30 nucleotides) under Mus musculus (house mouse). Lineage: Eukaryota; Metazoa; Chordata; Mammalia; Rodentia; Muridae. The record is from RNAcentral.